Long non-coding RNA from Eupeodes corollae, 1292 nucleotides. RefSeq lists it as uncharacterized. NCBI's taxonomy places the organism in Eukaryota, Metazoa, Arthropoda, Insecta, Diptera, Syrphidae. The record is from RefSeq and is a predicted model, not a curated record. The transcript is spliced from 2 exons.
AAAAAACAAUAAUUUUUAAUUUAUUAUUUCUUUAAAGCUAACACGACAUCAUCGUUUGUUACUAAUUUAUAAAAAUAAAAGUCAUGACCUAGAUUCUACGAUCUGUCAUUUAUCCGUUAUACAAGUUGUGGCACCUUAGCCACUGUCCUUGAUUUUUCUUUUUUUUUUAUUUAACUUUCUAAUAAAACGACGUGUAUCGUAUCAUGUCGUCGUAGUCGACGUGUUCUCGUAUGAAAACUUGGAUUGUUUUCAAUUUUGUAUUUUGUUUAAAAUGUUCAAAUAUUCUAAACAAAAACACACACAUUUUAAAAUUGGGUAUUUUGUUUGAGUCACUUUAUAAAUAUCAAAUAUAAAAAUUAUUAUCUUUUUACUUUCUUAAUUACUUAAGUGACAGCUCAUGUUGAUCAAUAAUAUCAUGUCAUUGGAAUUCCCUUUUAUCAUUUUGACAUUAGACAUAGACAACUCACAUCACCUGAUGUCUGUGUUUCCAGAUUUUGGGAAAUCCUCUUAUUUGACAGACAAAACAGCUGUUAUAAGAAUUUGUAUCAAUAAAUUCCAUUAAAAAUGUUAGAAAUAUUUAUUUUUGUUUUUUCUGUACUACAAUUAAAUUUAAUUAGUUUGUCAUUUUGAAUUAGCUUGUUAUUCAAUGGACGUGUAUUUUGCGUCGUAGUAAAAAGGUGUUUUGUUUUCUUAUUUUUUAAUUUAUUCAUUAUUUUUUUCUUUGUCCUACAGACAUACUUGAUAAUUUAUAUAAAUAUUUUUAAAUAACUUUUUAUUUUUCAUUUUGUUUUAUUUGGGAACGCAUUCUGUUAAUCUUUGAAGAGUUCCUCCAUCUGCCAUCGAAUAUUUUGCUAAAAAUAAAAACAAAAUAAAAUAUAUAUCACGAUCAUUAAGUAAAAUUUUUACAAAGACAGAGCGUUUUUCAAAAACAAAUUUAUAACACGCGUGAUUUUCGGGAAAUACGUGGGGUUUCGCGCAAAUCCUUAUUUUUAUUUUAUUUAAUGAUGCUUAUAUUUUCGUAAUCAAAUUAAACGAACGUGUGAACAUUCAAAAAGGAAAACAUUUUAUUUUUGUCUAGUCAAGAGAAAUUUGUAUAAUAAUUAUUGUUUUUGUAAAGACUUUGACGUAAACGUCAUUCUUCAUAAUGAGUUUGUUUCAUAUUCCAAGCAUGUUUAUGUAUAAAAUUAUUUUAUUAAUAAUUAUAACGUACGCUGUCAAUUUCCGGUCAAACGUCAUGGGGGACUGGGAUUGACGUGUGCUUUCUUCGUGCAAUAAAUUGAUUUAUAAAUUGA